GUCCCUGUAGCGUAAUGGAUAGUGCGUUGGACUACUGAUCCAAAGGUCAUGGGUUCGAAUCCCGCCUGGGAUG
Trichonephila inaurata madagascariensis is the source of this 73-nucleotide non-coding RNA. NCBI's taxonomy places the organism in Eukaryota, Metazoa, Arthropoda, Arachnida, Araneae, Nephilidae. The record is from the annotation of a GenBank genome assembly.